GUUAAGCGACUAAGCGUACACGGUGGAUGCCCUGGCAGUCAGAGGCGAUGAAGGACGUGCUAAUCUGCGAUAAGCGUCGGUAAGGUGAUAUGAACCGUUAUAACCGGCGAUUUCCGAAUGGGGAAACCCAGUGUGUUUCGACACACUAUCAUUAACUGAAUCCAUAGGUUAAUGAGGCGAACCGGGGGAACUGAAACAUCUAAGUACCCCGAGGAAAAGAAAUCAACCGAGAUUCCCCCAGUAGCGGCGAGCGAACGGGGAGGAGCCCAGAGCCUGAAUCAGUGUGUGUGUUAGUGGAAGCGUCUGGAAAGGCGCGCGAUACAGGGUGACAGCCCCGUACACAAAAAUGCACAUGCUGUGAGCUCGAUGAGUAGGGCGGGACACGUGGUAUCCUGUCUGAAUAUGGGGGGACCAUCCUCCAAGGCUAAAUACUCCUGACUGACCGAUAGUGAACCAGUACCGUGAGGGAAAGGCGAAAAGAACCCCGGCGAGGGGAGUGAAAAAGAACCUGAAACCGUGUACGUACAAGCAGUGGGAGCACGCUUAGGCGUGUGACUGCGUACCUUUUGUAUAAUGGGUCAGCGACUUAUAUUCUGUAGCAAGGUUAACCGAAUAGGGGAGCCGAAGGGAAACCGAGUCUUAACUGGGCGUUAAGUUGCAGGGUAUAGACCCGAAACCCGGUGAUCUAGCCAUGGGCAGGUUGAAGGUUGGGUAACACUAACUGGAGGACCGAACCGACUAAUGUUGAAAAAUUAGCGGAUGACUUGUGGCUGGGGGUGAAAGGCCAAUCAAACCGGGAGAUAGCUGGUUCUCCCCGAAAGCUAUUUAGGUAGCGCCUCGUGAAUUCAUCUCCGGGGGUAGAGCACUGUUUCGGCAAGGGGGUCAUCCCGACUUACCAACCCGAUGCAAACUGCGAAUACCGGAGAAUGUUAUCACGGGAGACACACGGCGGGUGCUAACGUCCGUCGUGAAGAGGGAAACAACCCAGACCGCCAGCUAAGGUCCCAAAGUCAUGGUUAAGUGGGAAACGAUGUGGGAAGGCCCAGACAGCCAGGAUGUUGGCUUAGAAGCAGCCAUCAUUUAAAGAAAGCGUAAUAGCUCACUGGUCGAGUCGGCCUGCGCGGAAGAUGUAACGGGGCUAAACCAUGCACCGAAGCUGCGGCAGCGACGCUUAUGCGUUGUUGGGUAGGGGAGCGUUCUGUAAGCCUGUGAAGGUGUGCUGUGAGGCAUGCUGGAGGUAUCAGAAGUGCGAAUGCUGACAUAAGUAACGAUAAAGCGGGUGAAAAGCCCGCUCGCCGGAAGACCAAGGGUUCCUGUCCAACGUUAAUCGGGGCAGGGUGAGUCGACCCCUAAGGCGAGGCCGAAAGGCGUAGUCGAUGGGAAACAGGUUAAUAUUCCUGUACUUGGUGUUACUGCGAAGGGGGGACGGAGAAGGCUAUGUUGGCCGGGCGACGGUUGUCCCGGUUUAAGCGUGUAGGCUGGUUUUCCAGGCAAAUCCGGAAAAUCAAGGCUGAGGCGUGAUGACGAGGCACUACGGUGCUGAAGCAACAAAUGCCCUGCUUCCAGGAAAAGCCUCUAAGCAUCAGGUAACAUCAAAUCGUACCCCAAACCGACACAGGUGGUCAGGUAGAGAAUACCAAGGCGCUUGAGAGAACUCGGGUGAAGGAACUAGGCAAAAUGGUGCCGUAACUUCGGGAGAAGGCACGCUGAUAUGUAGGUGAAGUCCCUCGCGGAUGGAGCUGAAAUCAGUCGAAGAUACCAGCUGGCUGCAACUGUUUAUUAAAAACACAGCACUGUGCAAACACGAAAGUGGACGUAUACGGUGUGACGCCUGCCCGGUGC
This 1842-nucleotide ribosomal RNA is filed under the name Escherichia coli. RNAcentral's name for it is "partial 23S ribosomal RNA". It matches the Rfam family "Bacterial large subunit ribosomal RNA", at positions 1 to 1869 of the family's 2925-position model. The record is from RNAcentral. Lineage: Bacteria; Pseudomonadati; Pseudomonadota; Gammaproteobacteria; Enterobacterales; Enterobacteriaceae.